Molecule: long non-coding RNA, 570 nt
Organism: Trichomycterus rosablanca
Lineage: Eukaryota; Metazoa; Chordata; Actinopteri; Siluriformes; Trichomycteridae
Exons: 3
Source: RefSeq, a predicted model, not a curated record
AUCUCGUAAUGGGCAAUGUUUGACUGUAGACACUUACACUCUAGUACUGCGAGAGUCCGGUCACUCCUCCAUGCUGGUAUGCCCGUUCACCCUGGUAAGUGGAGUCUUGGGACAGUGCCACGUCCAUCUGUGACUUAAACUCAUCACCCAGUUUAAACCUUUCUCUAAAUAUACCUGGGAGAGUUCAGGCUGAGACAGGCCUGGCUGGCUCAUCUGUGAAGGCUGGCUCAUGGUAAUGUAACCCUGGGUCAAAGGGCCCUGGGAGAAGGGCUGAGACACCAGAUCCUGACUAGCUUGGCUGCUUGUCAUGUUGGCCUGGCCACUGCCAUGAUUGCCAAUGCCACGAUUCCUCUGACGCGCCCCACGUCCACCCGUCUUACCCUUUGGAGCACCACGGCCUAAACACAGAAGAAGUGGAGUGCUGCUGCGGUCAUACACUGAUCCAGGGAUCAUGGCCUCCCUGGCAUCGUACAUGGCAGUGCUCAUAAACCGGGCUCCCUAAAUUUCAAAAACACAUAAGCACAUAUUAGGUCAUUUCUGAAGUUAUGGUUUAUUAAACAAUGUUCUUCA